UCGAUUCAGCGGCGGACGGGUGAGUAAUGCCUAGGAAUCUGCCUAGUAGUGGGGGACAACGUUUCGAAAGGAACGCUAAUACCGCAUACGUCCUACGGGAGAAAGUGGGGGAUCUUCGGACCUCACGCUAUUAGAUGAGCCUAGGUCGGAUUAGCUAGUUGGUAGGGUAAAGGCCUACCAAGGCGACGAUCCGUAACUGGUCUGAGAGGAUGAUCAGUCACACUGGAACUGAGACACGGUCCAGACUCCUACGGGAGGCAGCAGUGGGGAAUAUUGGACAAUGGGCGAAAGCCUGAUCCAGCCAUGCCGCGUGUGUGAAGAAGGCCUUCGGGUCGUAAAGCACUUUAAGUUGGGAGGAAGGGCUCAUAGCGAAUACCUGUGAGUUUUGACGUUACCAACAGAAUAAGCACCGGCUAACUUCGUGCCAGCAGCCGCGGUAAUACGAAGGGUGCAAGCGUUAAUCGGAAUUACUGGGCGUAAAGCGCGCGUAGGUGGCUUGAUAAGUUGGAUGUGAAAUCCCCGGGCUCAACCUGGGAACUGCAUCCAAAACUGUCUGGCUAGAGUGCGGUAGAGGGUAGUGGAAUUUCCAGUGUAGCGGUGAAAUGCGUAGAUAUUGGAAGGAACACCAGUGGCGAAGGCGACUACCUGGACUGACACUGACACUGAGGUGCGAAAGCGUGGGGAGCAAACAGGA
RNAcentral lists this ribosomal RNA (694 nucleotides) under Pseudomonas oryzihabitans. RNAcentral describes it as "bacterial SSU rRNA". It matches the Rfam family "Bacterial small subunit ribosomal RNA", at positions 87 to 777 of the family's 1533-position model. Lineage: Bacteria; Pseudomonadati; Pseudomonadota; Gammaproteobacteria; Pseudomonadales; Pseudomonadaceae. The record is from RNAcentral.